UUUUGCAAUGGAUAUGUGGCUUAUACAAUUUAUCUCCAUUUAAAGCCCAUUAGACAAUGAUGGUUUUAGAAGAAACCUCAGACAUGCCCUCUGACUUAGUAAUUGUUUCUCCAGGAAAUGUUUUUUUUAGUCCUAAUUACGUUGUCCUAGUUUCCAAGAAAACAUAUUUUAUAAAUUCCUAAAUGUUAUUGACCAAAUGAAGCAAUUUUAUAAAACCUCAAAGCCAGUCAUUUAUUUACCCUAAAGCAUGGUUUGUCAGUACUGGGGAGUUGUUCAUUCAGGUAUUUUUUUCCUUUAUGUUGUUCCCUUAGAGAAUGUCACAAAAACACCACUGCUAAAUGCCUAGUAUGCUAAGGGCUUUACUAUCUGAUCCUUUUGGAUACAAUGCGCCUCUGUUGAUUGAGUCAAAUGAGGUGGAUUUGUUCAUUAAUUUCAGCUUUAUUGGAGUAUAACUGACAGAUGAAUUUGUUUUUUACACAAUACAAAAUUGUACUGAUGGCGAGAGAUUACAAAUAUGAAUUUCCAGUAAUCAGUUAUUUAAAUUAUGAUAACUGAUUACUC
This 561-nucleotide long non-coding RNA is filed under the name Bos taurus (domestic cattle). RNAcentral's name for it is "long non-coding RNA NONBTAT018366". Lineage: Eukaryota; Metazoa; Chordata; Mammalia; Artiodactyla; Bovidae. The record is from RNAcentral.